GGGUUGUGAGGUUAAGCGACUAAGCGUACACGGUGGAUGCCUAGGCAAUCAGAGGCGAUGAAGGACGUGCUAAUCUGCGAUAAGCGUCGGUAAGGUGAUAUGAACCGUUAUACCCGACGAUUUCCGAAUGGGGAAACCCAGUGCAAUUCGUUGCACUAUCGUUUGAUGAAUACAUAGUCAAACGAAGCGAACCGGGGGAACUGAAACAUCUCAGUACCCCGAGGAAAAGAAAUCAACCGAGAUUCCCCUAGUAGCGGCGAGCGAACGGGGAGCAGCCCAGAGUCUUAAUCAGCAUUAGUAUCAGGAGAACGGUCUGGAAAGUCCGGCAGUAAAGGGUGAUAGCCCCGUAUCUGAAGAUAUUAGUGUUGUGAACUCGACGAGUAGGGCGGGACACGUGUUAUCCUGUCUGAAUAUGGGGGGACCAUCCUCCAAGGCUAAAUACUCCUGAUUGACCGAUAGUGAACCAGUACCGUGAGGGAAAGGCGAAAAGAACCCCGGCGAGGGGAGUGAAAUAGAACCUGAAACCGUGUACGUACAAGCAGUGGGAGCCUUGAUUUAUCAGGGUGACUGCGUACCUUUUGUAUAAUGGGUCAGCGACUUAUAUUCUGUAGCAAGGUUAACCGUAUAGGGGAGCCGUAGGGAAACCGAGUCUUAACUGGGCGAAUGAGUUGCAGGGUAUAGACCCGAAACCCGGUGAUCUAGCCAUGGGCAGGUUGAAGGUUGGGUAACACUAACUGGAGGACCGAACCGACUAAUGUUGAAAAAUUAGCGGAUGACUUGUGGCUGGGGGUGAAGAAAGCUAAAUCAAACCGGGAGAUAGCUGGUUCUCCCCGAAAGCUAUUUAGGUAGCGCCUCGUGAACUCAUCUUCGGGGGUAGAGCACUGUUUCGACUAGGGGGUCAUCCCGACUUACCAACUCGAUGCAAACUACGAAUACCGAAGAAUGUUAUCACGGGAGACACACGGCGGGUGCUAACGUUCGUCGUGAAGAGGGAAACAACCCAGACCGCCAGCUAAGGUCCCAAAGUCAUAGUUAAGUGGGAAACGAAGUGGGAAGGCUCAGACAGCCAGGAUGUUGGCUUAGAAGCAGCCAUCAUUUAAAGAAAGCGUAAUAGCUCACUGGUCGAGCUCUAUGCGCGGAAGAUGUAACGGGGCUAAACUAUGCACCGAAGCUGCGGCAGCGAUAUGUAAAUAUUGUUGGGUAGGGGAGCGUUCUGUAAGCCUGUGAAGGUGUACUGUGAGGUAUGCUGGAGGUAUCAGAAGUGCGAAUGCUGACAUAAGUAACGAUAAUGCGGGUGAAAAACCCGCACGCCGGAAGACCAAGGGUUCCUGUCCAACGUUAAUCGGGGCAGGGUGAGUCGACCCCUAAGGCGAGGCAGAAAUGCGUAGUCGAUGGGAAACGGGUUAAUAUUCCCGUACUGGUGAUAAUUGCGAUGGGGGGACGGAGAAGGCUAGGCUGGUACGGGCGACGGUUGUCCCGGUUUAAGGAUGUAGGCAGGUGAAUUAGGCAAAUCCGGUUCACUAUAUGCUGAGGUCUGAUGACGAGUCACUACGGUGGCGAAGUAGCUCAUGCCCCGCUUCCAGGAAAAGCCUCUAAGCUCUAGAUUAUCAUUAAUCGUACCCCAAACCGACACAGGUGGUCAGGUAGAGAAUACUCAGGCGCUUGAGAGAACUCGGGUGAAGGAACUAGGCAAAAUGGUGCCGUAACUUCGGGAGAAGGCACGCUGGCGUUAGGUGAAGUGGUUUACCCAUGGAGCUGAAGCCAGUCGCAGAUACCAGCUGGCUGCAACUGUUUAUUAAAAACACAGCACUGUGCAAACACGAAAGUGGACGUAUACGGUGUGACGCCUGCCCGGUGCUGGAAGGUUAAUUGAUGGGGUUAUCCGUAAGGAGAAGCUCUUGAUCGAAGCCCCAGUAAACGGCGGUACGUAACUAUAACGGUCCUAAGGUAGCGAAAUUCCUUGUCGGGUAAGUUCCGACCUGCACGAAUGGCGUAAUGAUGGUACCAGGCUGUCUCCACCCGAGACUCAGUGAAAUUGAACUCGCUGUGAAGAUGCAGUGUACCCGCGGCAAGACGGAAAGACCCCGUGAACCUUUACUAUAGCUUGACACUGAACAUUGAGCCUUGAUGUGUAGGAUAGGUGGGAGGCUUUGAAGUGUGGACGCCAGUCUGCAUGGAGCCAACCUUGAAAUACCACCCUUUAAUGUUUGAUGUUCUAACGUUGCCCCGUUAUCCGGGGUGCGGACAGUGUCUGGUGGGUAGUUUGACUGGGGCGGUCUCCUCCCAAAGAGUAACGGAGGAGCACGAAGGUUGGCUAAGCAUGGUCGGACAUCAUGCGGUUAGUGCAAAGGCAUAAGCCAGCUUGACUGCGAGAGUGACGGCUCGAGCAGGUACGAAAGUAGGUCUUAGUGAUCCGGUGGUUCUGAAUGGAAGAGUAUCGCUCAACGGAUAAAAGGUACUCCGGGGAUAACAGGCUGAUACCGCCCAAGAGUUCAUAUCGACGGCGGUGUUUGGCACCUCGAUGUCGGCUCAUCACAUCCUGGGGCUGAAGUAGGUCCCAAGGGUACGGCUGUUCGCCGUUUAAAGUGGUACGCGAGCUGGGUUUAGAACGUCGUGAGACAGUUCGGUCCCUAUCUGCCGUGGGCGUUGGAAGAUUGAAAGGGGCUGCUCCUAGUACGAGAGGACCGGAGUGGACGCACCACUGGUGUUCGGGUUGUCAUGCCAAUGGCAUUGCCCGGUAGCUAAGUGCGGAAGAGAUAACCGCUGAAAGCAUCUAAGCGGGAAACUUGCCUUGAGAUGAGUCUUCCCUGACCCUUUAAGGGUCCUAAAGGAACGUUUAAGACUAAGACGUUGAUAGGUUGGGUGUGUAAGCAUAGCGAUAUGUUGAGCUAACCAAUACUAAUGAACCGUGAGGCUUAACCUGACAACACCGAAGGUGUUUUAG
This 2944-nucleotide ribosomal RNA is filed under the name Providencia rettgeri. RNAcentral describes it as "23S ribosomal RNA". It matches the Rfam family "Bacterial large subunit ribosomal RNA". The record is from RNAcentral. Lineage: Bacteria; Pseudomonadati; Pseudomonadota; Gammaproteobacteria; Enterobacterales; Morganellaceae.